RNAcentral lists this small nucleolar RNA (89 nucleotides) under Exophiala sideris. RNAcentral describes it as "Exophiala sp. SST-2011 A. fumigatus snoRNA Afu_263". It matches the Rfam family "A. fumigatus snoRNA Afu_263". The record is from Rfam by way of RNAcentral. Lineage: Eukaryota; Fungi; Ascomycota; Eurotiomycetes; Chaetothyriales; Herpotrichiellaceae.
UACUAUGAUGAACCAAAGUAAAAAAGCAUAGUUCAACUGAGACUUCAAGUCACUGAACGAAAACUUACCAUCACCAAUCUUUUCUGAAC